CAGUAGCCGCGGUAAUACGUAGGGUGCGAGCGUUAAUCGGAAUUACUGGGCGUAAAGCGUGCGCAGGCGGUUAUAUAAGACAGAUGUGAAAUCCCCGGGCUCAACCUGGGAACUGCAUUUGAAACUGGCAAGCUAGAGUCUUGUAGAGGGGGGUAGAAUUCCAGGUGUAGCGGUGAAAUGCGUAGAGAUCUGGAGGAAUACCGGUGGCGAAGGCGGCCCCCUGGACAAAGACUGACGCUCAGGUGCGAAAGCGUGGGGAGCAAACAGGAUUAGAUACCCGGGUAGUCCCUGUCUCUUAUAC
Molecule: ribosomal RNA, 301 nt
Filed under: uncultured bacterium
Lineage: Bacteria
Description: partial 16S ribosomal RNA
Rfam family: Bacterial small subunit ribosomal RNA
Source: RNAcentral